AAAUGUAAUUAGAAAAAUUUUAAAAAAUUUUAAAAUACACCUUUUAUUCUUUAUUCUCCAAAACAUCCACAACACUCAAAUUCCUCCAUUAACAACCUCAAAUCCAUUCUUCAUUAACACUCUUCUUCAAUUUUUUUUUCCUCUAUUAACACCAUCAAAAAACAACCACAAAACACUAAAUAAAAAAUAAAACUCUCUAUUAAACACCUUUUAUUCUUUAUUCUCCAAAACAUCUACAACACUCAAAUUCCUCCAUUAACAACCUCAUAUUCAUUCUUCAUUAACACUCUUCUUCAAUUUUUUUUAUUUUCCUCCAUUAACACCAUCAAAGAACAACCACAAAACACUAAAUAAAAAAUAAAACUCUCUAUUAAACACCUUUUAUUCUUUAUUCUCCAAAACAUCUACAACACUCAAAUUCCUCCAUUAACAACCUCAACUUCAUUCUUUAUUAACACUCUCCUUCAAUUUUUUCAUUUUCCUACAUUAACACCACCAAAGAACAACCACAAAUACACUAAAUUAAAAAAGAAAAAUCAUCAAACACCAUUUUUGUGGUUGAAAAAAAUGGAGGUAUUUUUGUGUUAACAAGAAAGGAG
This 599-nucleotide long non-coding RNA is filed under the name Capsicum annuum. RNAcentral's name for it is "long non-coding RNA (CANN_LNC019579)". Lineage: Eukaryota; Viridiplantae; Streptophyta; Magnoliopsida; Solanales; Solanaceae. The record is from RNAcentral.